Molecule: long non-coding RNA, 445 nt
Filed under: Drosophila guanche
Lineage: Eukaryota; Metazoa; Arthropoda; Insecta; Diptera; Drosophilidae
Source: RNAcentral
GGGACGUGUGAGACGCUUCUUACGCGUCACAACUUUUAUACCCGGCACUCAGUACUACAUCUGCACCUUAGCGGUGUUUUGUCAAAUUUUAAAUUUUUUCUUCAACUGUCAUCUACAUCUACAACACUUCUCACACCAACACGCUCCGUUAGCUCGCCGCCCUUCACCAGACCCACACACUGCCGACUUGCGGCAGAGGCAGAUGCAGCGCCCGCACACAAAAUAAAAAAACAAAUAUAAGCUGUGGGACGGGGUGGGUUGAAAGUCGGCAGAGGCAGCGGCAAGGGGAGGGCAGAGGCAGAGGCCGAGUGAAGUAGAAGCAGAGUGUGAAUGAGAGAAUGUAAAAAUAACAACAAAAGCUGCGGGACAGGGUGGGCUUAGCCACUGCAAAUUAAUUUCUUCAUUCUGGCCAUAAUAAUCAUCCAAUCGGAUCCCAAUUUGGUGA